RNAcentral lists this ribosomal RNA (468 nucleotides) under uncultured bacterium. Its description in RNAcentral is "partial 16S ribosomal RNA". It matches the Rfam family "Bacterial small subunit ribosomal RNA", at positions 28 to 507 of the family's 1533-position model. The record is from RNAcentral.
GACGAACGCUGGCGGCGUGCUUAACACAUGCAAGUCGAACGGAAAGGCCCUGCUUUUGUGGGGUGCUCGAGUGGCGAACGGGUGAGUAACACGUGAGUAACCUGCCCUUGACUUUGGGAUAACUUCAGGAAACUGGGGCUAAUACCGGAUAGGAGCUCCUGCUGCAUGGUGGGGGUUGGAAAGUUUCGGCGGUUGGGGAUGGACUCGCGGCUUAUCAGCUUGUUGGUGGGGUAGUGGCUUACCAAGGCUUUGACGGGUAGCCGGCCUGAGAGGGCGACCGGCCACAUUGGGACUGAGAUACGGCCCAGACUCCUACGGGAGGCAGCAGUGGGGAAUAUUGCACAGUGGGCGGAAGCCUGAUGCAGCAACGCCGCGUGCGGGAUGACGGCCUUCGGGUUGUAAACCGCUUUCGCCUGUGACGAAGCGUGAGUGACGGUAAUGGGUAAAGAAGCACCGGCUAACUACGUG